This is a non-coding RNA of Vicugna pacos (alpaca), 156 nucleotides long. The record is from RefSeq and is a predicted model, not a curated record. Lineage: Eukaryota; Metazoa; Chordata; Mammalia; Artiodactyla; Camelidae.
GUAAGGGAGGAGUAAGGACAUAUAGGAGUUUUUGCAACAAAGACCAGGUAGUCAGAACGUCGAAAGAUUGCUGUUAAUUAAAGAAAACCAGGCAUCUCAAGUUAAGGAAUUUAGUACUUUUAUAUGUAUGGGAAGGUGUAGAGGUCUGGGCUCAUU